CGUUGAUUACGUCCCUGCCCUUUGUACACACCGCCCGUCGCUACUACCGAUUGAAUGGCUCAGUGAGGCGUCCGGACUGGCCCAGAGAGGAGGAAAACCACCACUCAGGGCCGGAAAGCUCUCCAAACUCGGUCAUUUAGAGGAAGUAAAAGUCGUAACAAGG
Molecule: ribosomal RNA, 163 nt
Filed under: Clonostachys rosea
Lineage: Eukaryota; Fungi; Ascomycota; Sordariomycetes; Hypocreales; Bionectriaceae
Description: partial small subunit ribosomal RNA
Rfam family: Eukaryotic small subunit ribosomal RNA
Source: RNAcentral